UGCCUUAUGACGCUUCUGUGGAACCGCAGGUGGAGGCCCACUCAAGCCCCAUGGCUUUCAGCCAUGGGACUACAUACAAACACACACUCUCUCUCACUCACACAGAGGCUAUGGAAAACAAUUGAAUGCUGACACCCACUAUGCCAGCUACCCAACGCUGAUACCCACUAUGCCAGCUACCAGAAGGCUGGCACCCACUAUGCCAGCCACCAGAAGCCUGAAGCGACGUCUCGGUGAGGCUUGCCAGGGUUAUCACUUGUUGAAGAAGGGGACAUGCCUGUGAGCUGGCAAUCUGGGCAUUACAAGAUAAUUAUUUAGCUAGUCUUUGGGUCUCCAGCCUGCCCACCCUGCAGAUUUUGGACAUGACACCUCCACAAUCAUUUGGAACAGGUUUGCUGCCUCAUUACUGAAGAGUAGAGAUAGGACAUAGGUCUCUAGAUACAGUGUCGGUGGCCAUAUUCCCAUGAUGUGUAUAAAGAACAUGUACCACAAAAAUCUACAACAGUUAUACUAAUUGAGAAGACCUUGACAACUUUAUCCUGGAAUCAGAUUUAUGCAUAAAUUAUUCUACCUCCAACAGAUGUUUUAAGAAAAUUGUCAGAAGGAAAUAACAUCACCAAUAUGGAAGAAACUUUCCAGUGGUCAUCCCCUACAGAAACAUCAAUGUACACAACUGUCUGUUUAUAAAAAUAGCUUCACAUGUACUAAGGAAUUGAAGUGAGAGGAUUACAGUAGCUGGAUGUUUAUCUGAAAUAAGAAAACCAUAGUGAAGGUAGGAAGAACAGUUUUACAUUAUUCAGAUCACUCCUCUCCCCAAACUAGGCAGCUCAGUGAUAAGAGAGAUACUCUCUACAUAGGGAAGAAGAGAGCAUUAAAAGGAUCACACAACAUAAUAAAGCAUGAUUUAUUCUUAAGUUGCACAGAUGCUUUAAUAUGUAAAUAAAUGUGAUACAACACAUUAACAUAAUAAAAGAUAAAGACUAAAUGAUCAUCUCAAUAAAUGCAGAAAAAUUUGACAUAAUUUGACAUAUAUCCAUGAUAAAAUUUCUUAACAAAUUAGGCAUAGAAUGUAUUUCAACAUAAUAAAGACUGUUUGUGACAAGCUGCAGCUAACAUUACAAUUACCAGUAAAAAGCUGAAGCUUUCCUCCAAGAUAAGAAAUAAGACAAGAAUGCUCACCCUCACCACUUCUGUUCAAUAUAGUUCUGGAGGUCCUAUUGAGAGAAAUUAGAAAAAAUAUAUAUUUUUAAACAUACAGAUUGGAAACAAAGAAGUAAAAUUGUUUCUAUUCCUGAUGACAUGAUCUCAUAUGGAGAAAACUCUGAAAUCUCCACCCGAAAAUGCUUAGAAUUAGUUUUAAAAACUCAAUAAAGUGGAAGGAUACAAAAUCAGCAAACAAAACAUAGUAGAAUUUCUGUACACUUAUAAUGGACUAUCCAAAAAUUAAAUCAAGACAACAAUCCCACUAUAAUAUCAUAAAAAAUUAAAUACUUAGGAAUAAUUCUAUCCAAGCAGGAGGAAGAGCUGUACACUGAUUACUAUAAAACAUUAAUGAAAGGAAUUAAAAAUGAUACAAGUAUAUGAAAAUAUAUCUCUUGUUCAUAGAUUGAAAGAAUUAAUGUUACCAUAAUGUCCAUAUUACCCAAUGCAGUCUACAGAUACAAUGUAAUUUCUAUAAAAAUUCCAGGAGUUUUUCAGAGAAAUAGAGAAAAUCAUCUUAAAAUUUAUAUAAAACUACACAAGACAUAAAAUAGCCAAGACAAUCUCAAGCAAAGAGAACAAAACUGAAGAUAUACUACCUGAUUUCAAAAUAUAUAGUUGUCAAAAUAUUAUCACCCUGGCAUAGUAAUCAAAACAAAACUAUAGUAAUCAAAGCAUCAUAGUACUGGCAUAAAAACAACAUAUAUUCCAAUGGAACAGAAUAAGGAUCCCAGAAAUAAAUCCACACAGUUAAGGUCAAUUAGUCUUUUAGAAACAUGUCAAUAACACAUAAUGGGGAAAGGAUAGUGUCUUCAAAAAAUGGAUCUAGGGGCCGGGCGCGGUGGCUCAAGCCUGUAAUCCCAGCACUUUGGGAGGCCGAGACGGGUGGAUCACGAGGUCAAGAGAUCGAGACCAUCCUGGUCAACAUGGUGAAACCCCGUCUCUACUAAAGAUACAAAAAAUUAGCUGGGCAUGGUGGCGCGUGCCUGUAAUCCCAGCUACUCAGGAGGCUGAGGCAGGAGAAUUGCCUGAACCCAGGAGGCGGAGGUUGUGGUGAGCCGAGAUCGCGCCAUUGCACUCCAGCCUGGGUAACAAGAGCGGAACUCUGUCUCAAAAAAUAAAAAAAAUGGAUCUAGGAAAUCUUGAUAUCCACAUGCAG
Non-coding RNA from Callithrix jacchus (white-tufted-ear marmoset), 2359 nucleotides. The record is from RefSeq and is a predicted model, not a curated record. NCBI's taxonomy places the organism in Eukaryota, Metazoa, Chordata, Mammalia, Primates, Cebidae.